AUGGAGCUGCAGGAAGACGUGCGUGCCACGGAUGAGGAGAGCCAGCCUCACUUCCUGAUCGUGACGUACCCGGCGCAGGGCCACAUCACCCCGGCGCGUCACCUCGCGCGCCGUCUCGUGCGCGCGGCCGCCGGCGCCGGCGGUGCGCGCGUCACCAUAUGCACCCCUGUCUCGGCCUUUCGGAAGAUGUUCGCUGACGCAACAAGCGCGGUGGGCGGCGACGAGAUAAGGGAAGAGGGCGGGGUCGCAUACGCCGCUUACUCCGACGGCUACGACGGUGGGUUCGACCGCACCGCGGGCGACUAUGCGCACUACAUGUCGCAGGUGAGGCUGGAGGGAGCGCGCACGCUGUCCGGGCUGCUCCGGCGCCUUGGCGAUCGCGGGCACCCCGUCACCUGCGCAGUGUACACGCUGCUCAUGCCGUGGGUGGCCGCCGUUGCGCGGGCGUACGGCGUGGCGGUCGUCGCGGUGUUCUGGAUCCAGCCGGUCACCGCGCUCGCCGCGUACUACCACUACUUCCGAGGGAGCCGGGAGGCCGUCAUGGCGGCCGCCGCGUCGCGUGACCCGAAUGCCGAGGUGUGUAUCCCGGGCCUCCCGCCGCUCCGGUUCCGGGACCUGCCGUCCUUCCUCGCCGUCACCUCGGACGACGACCCGUUUGCCUGCCUGAUCCCGGAGUUCCGCGAGCUCAUCGACGCGCUCGACGGCGACUCCGAGAAGCCCCCUACGUACGUCCUCGCCAACACGUUCGAGGCCAUGGAGCCUGAUGCGCUGGCUUCGUUGAGGCCUCACGUCGAAGUGGUAACCGUCGGUCCCGUGCUCUCGUUCCUGCACGACGGCCACGACGGCAACAGUCCAAACGACCUGUUCGACCACGACGGCGAAGGCUACCUCCACUGGCUGGAUACGAAGCCGGCCAAGUCGGUGGUGUACAUCUCCUUCGGGAGCACGUCGGUGAUGAGCAAGACGCAGGUCGCCGAGAUAGCGGACGCCAUGAGCCAGUCCAACAGGCCGUUCCUAUGGGUGCUACGGAAAGACAACUGCAGGGACAAGGACGAAGGCGAUGCGAUCAAGGGACUCCUCGCAACGGCGUCGGCGGCCACGUACGACGACGACGACGCCGGUGGCAUGGUGGUGGAGUGGUGCGACCAGGCGCGCGUGCUCUCGCAUCCGUCCGUGGGGUGCUUCGUGACGCACUGCGGGUGGAACUCGACACUGGAGAGCGUGGCCUGCGGCGUGCCCAUAGUUGCGGCGCCGCAGUACUCGGACCAGGGGACGAACGCGUGGCUCGUGGAGCGGGCGCUGGGCGUGGGUGUCCGCGCCACGGCGCGCGCGGAGGAUGGCGUCCUGGAGGCCGGGGAGCUGAGGAGGUGCGUGGAGAUAGCUACGUCGGAGGCGGUGACGUCGCGCGCCGCGUCGUGGAAGGAGGAGGCGAGGGUGGCCGUGGCCGACGGCGGCGGCUCAGAGCGGAGCCUGAGGGAGUUUGUGCGGCGGAUUGCAGGCGGUAGUACCUGA
This 1512-nucleotide ribosomal RNA is filed under the name Triticum aestivum (bread wheat). RNAcentral's name for it is "partial small subunit ribosomal RNA". Lineage: Eukaryota; Viridiplantae; Streptophyta; Magnoliopsida; Poales; Poaceae. The record is from RNAcentral.